RNAcentral lists this ribosomal RNA (626 nucleotides) under uncultured bacterium. Its description in RNAcentral is "bacterial SSU rRNA". It matches the Rfam family "Bacterial small subunit ribosomal RNA", at positions 242 to 859 of the family's 1533-position model. The record is from RNAcentral.
UAGCUAGUUGGUAAGGUAACGGCUUACCAAGGCGAUGAUGCAUAGCCGAGUUGAGAGACUGAUCGGCCACAUUGGGACUGAGACACGGCCCAAACUCCUACGGGAGGCAGCAGUAGGGAAUCUUCCACAAUGGACGCAAGUCUGAUGGAGCAACGCCGCGUGAGUGAAGAAGGUUUUCGGAUCGUAAAGCUCUGUUGUUGGUGAAGAAGGAUAGAGGUAGUAACUGGCCUUUAUUUGACGGUAAUCAACCAGAAAGUCACGGCUAACUACGUGCCAGCAGCCGCGGUAAUACGUAGGUGGCAAGCGUUGUCCGGAUUUAUUGGGCGUAAAGCGAGCGCAGGCGGAAAAAUAAGUCUGAUGUGAAAGCCCUCGGCUUAACCGAGGAACUGCAUCGGAAACUGUUUUUCUUGAGUGCAGAAGAGGAGAGUGGAACUCCAUGUGUAGCGGUGGAAUGCGUAGAUAUAUGGAAGAACACCAGUGGCGAAGGCGGCUCUCUGGUCUGCAACUGACGCUGAGGCUCGAAAGCAUGGGUAGCGAACAGGAUUAGAUACCCUGGUAGUCCAUGCCGUAAACGAUGAGUGCUAAGUGUUGGGAGGUUUCCGCCUCUCAGUGCUGCAGCUAACGCA